Molecule: RNase P RNA, 355 nt
Filed under: Gammaproteobacteria bacterium
Lineage: Bacteria; Pseudomonadati; Pseudomonadota; Gammaproteobacteria
Description: RNase P RNA component class A
Rfam family: Bacterial RNase P class A
About the family: Ribonuclease P (RNase P) is a ubiquitous endoribonuclease, found in archaea, bacteria and eukarya as well as chloroplasts and mitochondria. Its best characterised activity is the generation of mature 5'-ends of tRNAs by cleaving the 5'-leader elements of precursor-tRNAs.
Source: RNAcentral
UGAGUCAGCUGGACAGUUGCUGCCUGUGCUCUUGUGUACAGGGGGAGGAAAGUCCGGGCUCCAAAGAGCAGGGUGCCAGGUAACACCUGGGGGGUGUGAACCCACGGCAGUGCAACAGAAAAGAUACCGCCCAAUCGCUUUGAGGUUGGGUAAGGGUGAAAUGGUGCGGUAAGAGCGCACCGCACGACUGGUAACAGUUCGUGGCUCGGUAAACCCCACCCGGAGCAAGGCCAAAUAGGAAUCCAACAAUGUGGCUCGCAUUGGAUUCGGGUAGGCCGCUACAGACCUGUGGCGACACAGGCCGCAGAUGAAUAACUGUCCUUGACAGAACCCGGCUUACAGGCUGACUCGCCUU